UCUGUGCCAGCAGCCGCGGUAAUACAGAGGGUGCAAGCGUUAAUCGGAUUUACUGGGCGUAAAGCGCGCGUAGGUGGCCAAUUAAGUCAAAUGUGAAAUCCCCGAGCUUAACUUGGGAAUUGCAUUCGAUACUGGUUGGCUAGAGUAUGGGAGAGGAUGGUAGAAUUCCAGGUGUAGCGGUGAAAUGCGUAGAGAUCUGGAGGAAUACCGAUGGCGAAGGCAGCCAUCUGGCCUAAUACUGACACUGAGGUGCGAAAGCAUGGGGAGCAAACAGGAUUAGAUACCCUGGUAGUCCAUGCCGUAAACGAUGUCUACUAGCCGUUGGGGCCUUUGAGGCUUUAGUGGCGCAGCUAACGCGAUAAGUAGACCGCCUGGGGAGUACGGUCGCAAGACUAAAACUCAAAUGAAUUGACGGGGGCCCGCACAAGCGGUGGAGCAUGUGGUUUAAUUCGAUGCAACGCGAAGAACCUUACCUGGUCUUGACAUAGUAAGAACUUUCCAGAGAUGGAUUGG
RNAcentral lists this ribosomal RNA (513 nucleotides) under Acinetobacter lwoffii. Its description in RNAcentral is "bacterial SSU rRNA". It matches the Rfam family "Bacterial small subunit ribosomal RNA", at positions 502 to 1014 of the family's 1533-position model. Lineage: Bacteria; Pseudomonadati; Pseudomonadota; Gammaproteobacteria; Moraxellales; Moraxellaceae. The record is from RNAcentral.